This is a non-coding RNA of Pelagibacterium halotolerans B2, 376 nucleotides long. It matches the Rfam family "Bacterial RNase P class A". Rfam says of the family: Ribonuclease P (RNase P) is a ubiquitous endoribonuclease, found in archaea, bacteria and eukarya as well as chloroplasts and mitochondria. Its best characterised activity is the generation of mature 5'-ends of tRNAs by cleaving the 5'-leader elements of precursor-tRNAs. NCBI's taxonomy places the organism in Bacteria, Pseudomonadati, Pseudomonadota, Alphaproteobacteria, Hyphomicrobiales, Devosiaceae. The record is from Rfam.
CCAGUUGACCGGGCGGCCGCUGCGUGAGCAGAGGAAAGUCCGGGCUCCAUGAGAACACGGUGCCGGGUAACGCCCGGCGGGGGCGACCCCAGGGAAAGUGCCACAGAAAGCAAACCGCCCCGGCUUUGUCCGGGGUAAGGGUGAAAGGGUGCGGUAAGAGCGCACCGGGUGCCUGGCAACAGGGGCCGCACGGUAAACCCCACCGGGAGCAAGACCGAAUAGGGACGAUGGAGGCUUGCCUCGGCCGCGUUUUCACGGCUUGUCGUCCGGGUUGGUUGCAUGAGGGCUCCAGCAAUGGGGCUCCCAGAUGAAUGGUCGCCACGUCCGCGUUUGCGCGCGGGCCCUACAGAACCCGGCUUACAGGUCAACUGGUGAC